Molecule: ribosomal RNA, 447 nt
Filed under: uncultured bacterium
Lineage: Bacteria
Description: SSU rRNA
Rfam family: Bacterial small subunit ribosomal RNA
Source: RNAcentral
AGAGCGAACGCUGGCGGCAGGCCUAGUACAUGCAAGUCGAACGCACCUUCGGGUGAGUGGCGCACGGGUGAGUAACACGUGAAUAAUCUACCUCCGAGUGGGGAAUAACUGAGAGAAAUCUUAGCUAAUACCGCAUAAUACCCACGGGUCAAAGCAGCAAUGCGCUUGGAGAGGAGUUCGCGGCAGAUUAGUUAGUUGGCGGGGUAAUGGCCCACCAAGACGAUGAUCUGUAUCCGGCCUGAGAGGGCGCACGGACACACUGGAACUGAAACACGGUCCAGACUCCUACGGGAGGCAGCAGUGGGGAAUUUUGCGCAAUGGGGGAAACCCUGACGCAGCAACGCCGCGUGGAGGAUGAAGCCCCUUGGGGUGUAAACUCCUUUCGAUCGGGAAGAUAAUGACGGUACCGAUAUAAGAAGCCCCGGCUAACUUCGCGCCAGCAGCCGC